GACGAACGCUGGCGGCGUGCUUAACACAUGCAAGUCGAAAGAAGUGGCGAACGGGUGAGUAACGCGUAAUCAACCUGCCCUUCAGAGGGGGACAACAGUUGGCAACGACUGCUACUACCGCAUACUGAAGGAGGUGCUUGCGUCUGUUGUGCUAGUUGGAGGGGUAAAGGCUCACCAAGGCGAUGAUCAGUAGCCGGUCUGAGAGGAUGAACGGCCACAUUGGGACUGAGACACGGCCCAGACUCCUACGGGAGGCAGCAGUGGGGAAUCUUCCGCAAUGGACGAAAGUCUGACGGAGCAACGCCGCGUGAGUGAUGACGGCCUUCGGGUUGUAAAGCUCUGUUAAUCGGGACGCGGUACCGGAAUAGAAAGCCACGGCUAACUACGUGCCAGCAGCCGCGGUAAUAC
RNAcentral lists this ribosomal RNA (408 nucleotides) under uncultured bacterium. Its description in RNAcentral is "partial 16S ribosomal RNA". It matches the Rfam family "Bacterial small subunit ribosomal RNA", at positions 28 to 526 of the family's 1533-position model. The record is from RNAcentral.